AGUGAACGCUGGCGGUAGGCCUAACACAUGCAAGUCGAACGGCAGCACAGUAAGAGCUUGCUCUUACGGGUGGCGAGUGGCGGACGGGUGAGGAAUACAUCGGAAUCUACUUUUUCGUGGGGGAUAACGUAGGGAAACUUACGCUAAUACCGCAUACGACCUACGGGUGAAAGCAGGGGAUCUUCGGACCUUGCGCGAUUGAAUGAGCCGAUGUCGGAUUAGCUAGUUGGCGGGGUAAAGGCCCACCAAGGCGACGAUCCGUAGCUGGUCUGAGAGGAUGACCAGCAAACUGGAAACUGAGCACCGUCCCAGCUCCUUCGGGGAGGCAGAGGGGGGAAAUAUUGGCAAUGGGGCGCAAGCUUGACCAAGCCAUCCCGCGUGGGUGAAGAAGGCUUCCGGGUGUUAAAGCCUUUUUGUGGGGAAGAAAAGCAAGCAGGUAAAUCCCCGCUGUUCUGGCGGUACCCAAAAAAAUAGGCACGGCUAACUUCGGU
RNAcentral lists this ribosomal RNA (491 nucleotides) under uncultured bacterium. RNAcentral describes it as "partial 16S ribosomal RNA". It matches the Rfam family "Bacterial small subunit ribosomal RNA", at positions 29 to 507 of the family's 1533-position model. The record is from RNAcentral.